This 370-nucleotide ribosomal RNA is filed under the name uncultured bacterium. RNAcentral's name for it is "bacterial SSU rRNA". It matches the Rfam family "Bacterial small subunit ribosomal RNA", at positions 493 to 864 of the family's 1533-position model. The record is from RNAcentral.
CUCGCGUGUCGUGUCAGCAGCCGCGGUAAUACGUAGGGCGCAAGCGUUAUCCGGAAUUAUUGGGCGUAAAGAGCUCGUAGGCGGUUUGUCGCGUCUGCUGUGAAAUCCCGAGGCUCAACCUCGGGCCUGCAGUGGGUACGGGCAGACUAGAGUGCGGUAGGGGANAUUGGAAUUCCUGGUGUAGCGGUGGAAUGCGCAGAUAUCAGGAGGAACACCGAUGGCGAAGGCAGAUCUCUGGGCCGUAACUGACGCUGAGGAGCGAAAGGGUGGGGAGCAAACAGGCUUAGAUACCCUGGUAGUCCACCCGUAAACGUUGGGAACUAGUUGUGGGGUCCAUCCACGGAUUCCGUGACGCAGCUAACGCAUUAAG